This 1291-nucleotide long non-coding RNA is filed under the name Volvox carteri. RNAcentral describes it as "long non-coding RNA (VCAR_LNC003757)". Lineage: Eukaryota; Viridiplantae; Chlorophyta; Chlorophyceae; Chlamydomonadales; Volvocaceae. The record is from RNAcentral.
AUCGAUCUGAUGAUGCAUCGAUGCGAGCAUCGAUGCUCGCUCAGCAGCAGCUGUAGCUGCAGCGAGCCACACAUUGAUAAUCAACUGCAGCUGAUGAGUGGGUAGGUGUAGCAAGCUACAUUUGCCUUAGAAUAUCUNUAAGCUAUUAAAGCUUAAUCACAGUAACGGUACGGUCCCGUAUUUACGAACCAUACUCGUUAACUGUACGAACUCACUUUCUGGUACGCUAUCACAACCUAGCGUACGACACCAAGACUCCAGGAAUGGAGAUGGCGGCAGGUGGGCCGCAUUUAAGCCACCCAGGUGAAGUGCUUCGGCCAGACACUUAACGUAUCACUAUACUAGUGUUCAGGGUUCAAGACCUUGCUGUCACCGUUCUCGACGUAUGUCUUCGAAUCCCGACUUCCCUUGUCUCUUCUCACGCCUAACGCUGGGUCGCCAAUCGUGGACGAGACCCUCUGCUUCCGCUAAAACAGCUAAGGUAAGAGACGGCUGUUACAGUAGGAUGGCAUGCAUAUGGGUUCACAAAACAUACUACAUGGGUGUGCAAGUCCUGCUGGACAUGCUCCAGCGAUAACAUACAUUACAACCGGAUGCGAAAUAAUCUUAUCAGUACAGGUUUUAUUAUUCGUCGCUGCCGUACGCACACAUACAUACAUACAUAUAUAUACGUAAUACGUAUGUAUAUAUAUACAUAUAAAUAUACAUAUAUAUAUAAUACCUUAAAGUCAUAACAUGUGUAAAUCCAUAUAUGUAUGUACAUGUACAUACAGAAAAUGCAUGUAUAUGCAUAGAUCGGCAUAUAGUUAACAACCAAUGAAUCGCAAAGUUAUCAGGAAACAGCCUGCAUGUAUCAAAUCCCAGGCGACUCAUCUUUCAUUAAUUUUGUGACAUGUAUUGCUUAUGUAGGUGGCUGUAUCUGUGCACAUACAUAAUAAGAACUAUUACCACUGAUUCCGGUGUGUAUGCAUGCGUGUGUAUAUGUAUAUGUACAUAUCUAUGCGGUAGAGAUUUCUCCCUAAUUAUCAUAUGCAUAGGUUCUCUAGGUAAUCAAUUAUCCCCAUCAGUAGNNNNNNNNNNNNNNNNNNNNNNNNNNNNNNNNNNNNNNNNNNNNNNNNNNAGCUGUAGCUGCAGCGAGCCACACAUUGAUAAUCAACUGCAGCUGAUGAGUGGGUAGGUGUAGCAAGCUACAUUUGCCUUAGAAUAUCUUUAAGCUAUUAAAGCUUAAUCACAGUAACGGUACGGUCCCGUAUUUACGAACCAUACUCGUUAACUGUACGAACUCACUUUC